Molecule: transfer-messenger RNA, 54 nt
Filed under: fish metagenome
Description: transfer-messenger RNA Herba_serop_SmR1.1
Rfam family: transfer-messenger RNA
About the family: Bacterial tmRNA, also known as 10Sa RNA or SsrA, is named for its dual tRNA and mRNA-like properties.
Source: RNAcentral
GAACUGUCUGUAGAGUGCUUCUGGACGCGGGUUCAAUUCCCGCCGGCUCCACCA